ACACUCCUGCGGGAGGCAUCAGUGGGGAAUAUUGGACAAUGGGCGCAAGCCUGAUCCAGCCAUGCCGCGUGAGUGAUGAAGGCCCUAGGGUUGUAAAGCUCUUUCACCGGUGAAGAUAAUGACGGUAACCGGAGAAGAAGCCCCGGCUAACUUCGUGCCAGCAGCCGCGGUAAUACGAAGGGGGCUAGCGUUGUUCGGAUUUACUGGGCGUAAAGCGCACGUAGGCGGACUAUUAAGUCAGGGGUGAAAUCCCGGGGCUCAACCCCGGAACUGCCUUUGAUACUGGUAGUCUUGAGUUCGAGAGAGGUGAGUGGAAUUCCGAGUGUAGAGGUGAAAUUCGUAGAUAUUCGGAGGAACACCAGUGGCGAAGGCGGCUCACUGGCUCGAUACUGACGCUGAGGUGCGAAAGCGUGGGGAGCAAACAGGAUUAGAAACCCUAGUAGUCCCAUG
This 450-nucleotide ribosomal RNA is filed under the name uncultured organism. RNAcentral's name for it is "partial 16S ribosomal RNA". It matches the Rfam family "Bacterial small subunit ribosomal RNA", at positions 333 to 799 of the family's 1533-position model. The record is from RNAcentral.